Molecule: ribosomal RNA, 892 nt
Filed under: Cortinarius conicoumbonatus
Lineage: Eukaryota; Fungi; Basidiomycota; Agaricomycetes; Agaricales; Cortinariaceae
Description: LSU rRNA
Rfam family: Eukaryotic large subunit ribosomal RNA
Source: RNAcentral
CCCUAGUAACUGCGAGUGAAGCGGGAAAAGCUCAAAUUUAAAAUCUGGCAGUCUUUUGGCUGUCCGAGUUGUAAUCUAGAGAAGUGUUAUCYGCGCUGGACCGUGUACAAGUCUCCUGGAAUGGAGCAUCAUAGAGGGUGAGAAUCCCGUCUUUGACAUGGACUGCCAGGGCUUUGUGAUGCGCUCUCAAAGAGUCGAGUUGUUUGGGAAUGCAGCUCAAAAUGGGUGGUAAAUUCCAUCUAAAGCUAAAUAUUGGCGAGAGACCGAUAGCGAACAAGUACCGUGAGGGAAAGAUGAAAAGAACUUUGGAAAGAGAGUUAAACAGUACGUGAAAUUGCUGAAAGGGAAACGCUUGAAGUCAGUCAUGUCGUCCAGGGAUCAACCUUGCUUUUGCUUGGUGCACUUUCUGGUUUGACAGGUCAGCAUCAAUUUUGACCAUUGGAAAAAGGCUAAGGGAAUGUGGCAUCCUUGGAUGUGUUAUAGCCCUUGGUCGCAUACAAUGGUUGGGAUUGAGGAACUCAGCACGCCGAAAGGCCGGGUUUUAAACCACGUUCGUGCUUAGGAUGCUGGCAAUAUGGCUUUAAUCGACCCGUCUUGAAACACGGACCAAGGAGUCUAACAUGCCUGCGAGUGUUUGGGUGGAAAACCCGAGCGCGUAAUGAAAGUGAAAAGUUGAGAUCCCUGUCGUGGGGAGCAUCGACGCCCGGACCAGACCUUUUGUGACGGUUCCGCGGUAGAGCAUGUAUGUUGGGACCCGAAAGAUGGUGAACUAUGCCUGAAUAGGGUGAAUCCAGAGGAAACUCUGGUGGAGGCUCGUAGCGAUUCUGACGUGCAAAUCGAUCGUCAAAUUUGGGUAUAGGGGCGAAAGACUAAUCGAACCAUCUAGUAGCUG